AAUAUAUAUAUACAUGACAAUCACAUGGUAUAAAAAAUUUUAAAAAUAAAAGUGGGUAAUUUAGAACAUUUUCUCCCAUUUUUCAGUGUUCUGUUCUCUUUGCCUGUGCGUGUGAUGUGCAAAGACAACCUUGGCUUUGGUUGUUUUGAUCUUUUCGUUCUUCACUCAGGAAUGUAUCUUUAAGAUGGUUAUGGCAUGUGUUGAGGUUGUAUUACUUAUUUUAUGAUGGAUGUUCUGUAGAGAGGAUUAGCAGAGGUUAUACUUGAACCAGAGUAAUAUACUGUGAUUCUAUGAAAUGGAGGAUGACAAUGGGCUUGAGCUUAGCUUGGGUCUAUCAUGUGGAGCAUCAUCUGCCAAAUCCAAAGGCAAGAUUGGUAGCUCCUCAGAUACUAGGACAGAAGGAGGUGAUAAAGCCAUCAGAAUAGUGGAUGACUUCAAAAACUUUCUUGAAGCUGGAAAUCAGAAACAGGACCCCAGUGUUGGUUCUCAGAGAAAUGAUCCUGUGAAACCUUCAGAAAAUUUCUUUAAUGAUCUUUUGAAGGGUGCUGCUGAUGCAGAAGCUUCUGAGAACUUGAAUGAUAGAGGCCUCUGGGGUACAAACAAUAACAGAUCUGCUGAAAUUGAUGAAGACAAGAGGUCAGAAGCUGGCAGUAAACGUAAGAUGUUGUUUGAUGAGAUAAACAAUCAAAAGAAGCUUGAAAGAGAAGCUCUUCAUACUGAUUUACAUGAAAAACCCAUAACAUCACGCAUCUCCAUAACAACAGAAGAUGGCUCCGCAGCUGAGAAUGAAGAUGUGGCAGAGUCUGAAGUAGAGGGUUCAACCUCGAGGCUGGUUUCACACCAUGAUGAUGGAUCCAAGCGAUUUAUUGGAGUUGGUGGUUCUUCUGAGGUGCCUAAGGAGCUUAAGCUUGCCAACUUGAAUUAUGGGAACCCAUUCCCGGUUCAAUCAGUAAAUGUCAUGAAUGUACCUUUCACAUUACCUAUGAAGGAUGGUAACCCUGUUGGAACCCCCAGUUCAUCGGGUCAUACAUUACCUGACAUGAUACAGAUUAUGCCUACAGGAAAUAGUGAACAGUCUGGGACCCGGCCAGUGAAUCCUGGAAACUUGCCAGUUAUGUUUGGCUACUCACCUGUCCAACUUCCACUGUUGGAUAAGGAUAAUUCCUGGGGGAUGGUCUCUCACCCUCCACAGUUCCACCCUUCUUAUGCGAGCAGGGGUCUACCUAAUCCAGAUAAGCACAGUGAUGGAUUGAAAAUAUCACAAGCUUCCAUGCAUACAAUUGAGCACAAUUCCUUAGAGGCUGCACAACAUGAUGGCAGGACAUUUGGACUAGUCAAAGGCGAGGGUAAACAGCAUGCCACAGAGGAAGGCUCCUCUACUCAGGCAGAGGAAGAUGUAAAAGCCAGCAGCAUGAAUCUCAGAACAAAUGCUGCAUCUGAUCGACCGACAGCAGAAGGCUUAUCUCUUGAUUUUUCAGCCAUAAAGCCUGGUAUUGCUGCAGACCUGAAAUUUGGGGGAUCUGGUUCUUAUCCAAAUUUACCUUGGGUUUCAACCACGGGUACUGGCCCACAUGGUAGAACAAUUUCUGGUGUUACUUACAGAUUCAGUGCAAAUCAGAUAAAGAUUGUUUGUGCUUGCCAUGGUACUCACAUGUCCCCUGAAGAGUUUAUUCGACAUGCCAGUGAAGAGUGCCCUAAUCCAGAUAAUAGCAAUGGUUUGGCAACAUUUCCAAGUACCAAUCCUUCUGCCUCUGCUCAGAGCUGAAGUCUAAAAUCGUUUGCCAGCACCAUAACAUACAUUGGCAUGCAAUCAAAUUUGUCUUUACUAUGGCCUUGAAUAUACUAUUGCAGCUCCUCCAGAAAAUCAUUUUCUUUUCGUUGUAUUAUAUUUGCCAGCGGUUUAAGCUUCAGAUUCUGACAUGCUCUCAUAGCAUGAGGAAAAUUUUCAACCACUUUAGUACAUAUGUAAGUUUUAGUUUUUAUGAUACUACUUUCGAAUGCAAUGCAUGUAUGCUGUCAUAGUUGCUAAUGUUGGCAGAAUGAGGAGAUCAUGGUUUUAAUUUUGGAAAGGUUAUUGAAAGGAUCCUGUAGGGCUAUCAUCUGCUUGGAUUAAUCAUUUUCCAACUGCAGCAUAUCCUUGCAGACUAAAUUCUUGAGCAGUCGCUAUAGUGAACAAGCAGUUAAGGAGUUUUUUUUUAUUUUUUAAUUUCUUAAACUAACCAUGUACCCUUCCAACUUCACUAGUUAUAUAGCUUACCUUAUACUUAAUUUCUUACCUGCGGGAUUUUAUAGAACGGUUACUGGACUUGACUUAUAAAUCUGUUUAACUUUUAUUUUACGUCA
Durio zibethinus is the source of this 2343-nucleotide RNA transcript. It is a transcript of the gene named Putative interactor of JAZ, with no coding region annotated. Lineage: Eukaryota; Viridiplantae; Streptophyta; Magnoliopsida; Malvales; Malvaceae. The record is from RefSeq and is a predicted model, not a curated record.